Molecule: ribosomal RNA, 496 nt
Filed under: uncultured diatom
Lineage: Eukaryota; Bacillariophyta
Description: SSU rRNA
Rfam family: Eukaryotic small subunit ribosomal RNA
Source: RNAcentral
UUGAAACAAGGAGGUAGUGACAAUAAAUAACAAUGCCGGGCCUUUGUAGGUCUGGCAAUUGGAAUGAGAACAAUUUAAAUCCCUUAUCGAGGAUCAAUUGGAGGGCAAGUCUGGUGCCAGCAGCCGCGGUAAUUCCAGCUCCAAUAGCGUAUAUUAAAGUUGUUGCAGUUAAAAAGCUCGUAGUUGAAUUUGUGGUGUGUCCAGUCGGCCUUUGCUCUUUGAGUGACAGUGUUGUAACUGGUCUGCCAUGUUUGGGUGGAAUCUGUGUGGCAUUAAGUUGUCGUGCAGGGGAUGCCCAUCGUUUACUGUGAAAAAUUAGAGUGUUCAAAGCAGGCUUAUGCCUUGAAUAUAUUAGCAUGGAAUAAUAAUAUAGGACCUUGGUACUAUUUUUGUUGGUUUUGCGCACUGAGGUAAUGAUUAAGAGGGACAGUUGGGGGUAUUUGUAUUCCAUUGUCAGAGGUGAAAUUCUUGGAUUUUUGGAAGACAAACUACUGCG